RNAcentral lists this unclassified non-coding RNA (382 nucleotides) under Aphyllon fasciculatum. RNAcentral's name for it is "partial external transcribed spacer". Lineage: Eukaryota; Viridiplantae; Streptophyta; Magnoliopsida; Lamiales; Orobanchaceae. The record is from RNAcentral.
AUGUCUCAUGCUUUCCAUUUCAGUUGUUGGCUCAAGUUUUACUUGGUCAUUGCGUGUUUCCUGUGCCAAAUACCUAACAUAAAGGCAUUCUAAAUGUUGUACUCAGUAUUCACCUACUGAUGCUCUCCGAGAGGAGGGUGUUUUUGGUGGACUUCAAAUCAUGCAUUGUGUUUCACAUCCUUUGCAUGCAUGUUGUUCAUGCUUUGGUUGUUGACCCACGAUGUUGUGUUCGAUCUCUUGGAUAUGGAAAGUUGACAGGGUAUGGGCCUUCGGCCUUUAAUUCCCCAAAUCACGCGUUCGACGCUAUUAGCGAACGACUGUUGUGCUUGUGUUGGACGAGUCCUUUGGACUUGGCUCAUACGGCAUCCAUGUCGAUGAGGAA